Molecule: ribosomal RNA, 1254 nt
Filed under: Riemerella anatipestifer
Lineage: Bacteria; Pseudomonadati; Bacteroidota; Flavobacteriia; Flavobacteriales; Weeksellaceae
Description: bacterial SSU rRNA
Rfam family: Bacterial small subunit ribosomal RNA
Source: RNAcentral
GCGGAACACGUGUGCAACCUGCCUUUAUCUGAGGGAUAGCCUUUCGAAAGGAAGAUUAAUACCUCAUAAUAUACUGAUUGGCAUCAAUUGGUAUUGAAAGCUCCGGCGGAUAGAGAUGGGCACGCGCAAGAUUAGAUAGUUGGUGAGGUAACGGCUCACCAAGUCAAUGAUCUUUAGGGGGCCUGAGAGGGUGAUCCCCCACACUGGUACUGAGACACGGACCAGACUCCUACGGGAGGCAGCAGUGAGGAAUAUUGGACAAUGGGUGCAAGCCUGAUCCAGCCAUCCUGCGUGAAGGACGACGGCCCUAUGGGUUGUAAACUUCUUUUGUACAGGGAUAAACCUACCCUCGUGAGGGUAGCUGAAGGUACUGUACGAAUAAGCACCGGCUAACUCCGUGCCAGCAGCCGCGGUAAUACGGAGGGUGCAAGCGUUAUCCGGAUUUAUUGGGUUUAAAGGGUCCGCAGGCGGGCUAGUAAGUCAGUGGUGAAAGCCUACAGCUUAACUGUAGAACUGCCGUUGAUACUGCUAGUCUUGAGUAUAGUUGAGGUAGCUGGAAUGAGUAGUGUAGCGGUGAAAUGCAUAGAUAUUACUCAGAACACCGAUUGCGAAGGCAGGUUACCAAGUUAUAACUGACGCUGAGGGACGAAAGCGUGGGGAGCGAACAGGAUUAGAUACCCUGGUAGUCCACGCCGUAAACGAUGCUAACUCGUUUUUGGGCUUUAGGGUUCAGAGACUAAGCGAAAGUGAUAAGUUAGCCACCUGGGGAGUACGACCGCAAGGUUGAAACUCAAAGGAAUUGACGGGGGCCCGCACAAGCGGUGGAUCAUGUGGUUUAAUUCGAUGAUACGCGAGGAACCUUACCAAGGCUUAAAUGGGAAUUGACAGCUGUAGAAAUACGGUUUUCUUCGGACAAUUUUCAAGGUGCUGCAUGGUUGUCGUCAGCUCGUGCCGUGAGGUGUUAGGUUAAGUCCUGCAACGAGCGCAACCCCUGUCACUAGUUGCCAUCAUUAAGUUGGGGACUCUAGUGAGACUGCCUACGCAAGUAGAGAGGAAGGUGGGGAUGACGUCAAAUCAUCACGGCCCUUACGCCUUGGGCCACACACGUGAUACAAUGGCCGGUACAGAGGGCAGCUACACUGCGAAGUGAUGCCAAUCUCGAAAGCCGGUCUCAGUUCGGAUUGGAGUCUGCAACUCGACUCUAUGAAGCUGGAAUCGCUAGUAAUCGCGCAUCAGCCAUGGCGCGGUGAAUAC